AGAGUUUGAUCCUGGCUCAGGACGAACGCUGGCGGCGUGCCUAACACAUGCAAGUCGAACGGACAGAACUAAGCGAAGUUUUCGAAUGGAGCGAAGAGAAGUUAGUGGCGAACGGGUGAGUAACACGUGGAUAACCAACCAUAUAGACCGGGACAACCGUUGGAAACGACAGCUAAUACCGGAUAAGCUCCUAAGGCGGCAUCGCCUAGGGAGAAAAGUAGGCCUCUCGGAGAAGCCCGCGCUAAAUGACGGAUCCGCGCCUGAUUAGCUAGAUGGUGAGGUAAAGGCUCACCAUGGCAACGAUCAGUAGCCGGCCUGAGAGGGUGAACGGCCACAAUGGGACUGAGACACGGCCCAUACUCCUACGGGAGGCAGCAGUGGGGAAUAUUGCGCAAUGGGGGGAACCCUGACGCAGCAACGCCGCGUGAAUGAAGAAGGCCUUCGGGUUGUAAAAUUCUGUCAAGAGGGAAGAAGGCUCUUUGCUUAAUAUGUAAAGAGAUGACAGUACCGAUAGAGGAAGCUCCGGCUAACUACGUGCCAGCAGCCGCGGUAAUA
Molecule: ribosomal RNA, 555 nt
Filed under: uncultured bacterium
Lineage: Bacteria
Description: bacterial SSU rRNA
Rfam family: Bacterial small subunit ribosomal RNA
Source: RNAcentral